GGUGGUACAGCUCAGUGGUAGAGCGUGUGCUUAGCAUGCACAACGUCCCGGCUUCAAUCCCCAGUACCUCUG
RNAcentral lists this transfer RNA (72 nucleotides) under Camelus bactrianus (Bactrian camel). It matches the Rfam family "tRNA". Rfam says of the family: Transfer RNA (tRNA) molecules are approximately 80 nucleotides in length. Their secondary structure includes four short double-helical elements and three loops (D, anti-codon, and T loops). Lineage: Eukaryota; Metazoa; Chordata; Mammalia; Artiodactyla; Camelidae. RNAcentral also lists the same sequence under 2 other names. The record is from Rfam by way of RNAcentral.